This is a long non-coding RNA of Ahaetulla prasina, 5876 nucleotides long. RefSeq lists it as uncharacterized. Lineage: Eukaryota; Metazoa; Chordata; Lepidosauria; Squamata; Colubridae. The transcript is spliced from 3 exons. The record is from RefSeq and is a predicted model, not a curated record.
GGGAAAUUAACCACUGCAGAAUUGUGGGAUCAUUGGAUUUGAAUAAGGCUACCCUGGCAUAGUUAUCAUCUGAAAAAGCUUACAAUUUCCCAUACUGUAUCAAGAAUGUUAAUGUCAGAAUGUAUUUACAGCAGUUGUAUUAUUGCAGGAUUAUGUGACUGCCAUUUGCAACCUUUCCAGAGGGCUUCUGAUAAGCAGAGCCAAUGAGAGAAACCAGAUUUGUUUAAAUGACCACAGCAAAAAAAAAGUCUGCAAAUCAGGUUUGACUGAUUUAAUGUGGCUGUGGAUGGGGAAAUAACAGACUUCAGCUAAACCCUAGUAAGAUGGAGUGGCUGUGGAUAUCUGGAGAAUCAGGGCCUGGAUUGGAGUUUUAUCAUCUUUAGUUCCAGAUUGCGUAGCACUACCCCAGACAGACCCAUUGCACAAUUUGGGGGUUCCGGUUCUCCUAAAUUUGCAACUCCUGCUUGAACAGCAGGUGGCAGUUGCUUGUUAGACCUGGCAAUGGUGAAUAGAAGGACAGUUGCAGAAAGAAACAGAUGGGUUAAUUCUGGCUGUACAAGAUUAAGCCUUACAAAUGCAUAUAAAACUAGACAACAAAGACAAUGCCAUCUCUGCAAAGAAAUUAAAGAAACAGUGGAUCACUUGGUAUAGGAGUAACAUAAACCCAUGAUGGCGAAUCUAUGGGACGCGUGGCACAGGUGGCAUGCAGAGCCCUCUCUGCUGGCACGUGCACUGUUGCCCCAGCUCAGAUUUUCAUUGGGUUUCUUUCAUGAGCUCCUGUUUCCCUGGAAACGACGAAACAGAAGCUUAUGAAAGAAAAAGAUCUUUCUUUUUACCCCAACACUGAGCUGCCGGUAUUGGGAUGCCCCACCUCCGCUGGUCAGCUAGUCUUCGGGCCUCUGCUGUAUAUGCGUGAUUGUGUGUGCAUGUGCAAACUGCGCACUUGCACAUGUGCACAGUUUGGGCACUCAGUAUCCAAAAGGUUCAGCAUCACUGGCAUAGACUGAUUGCGAACAAUGGCAUGACAACCUAGCAACAAUGGUGCAUUGGAACAUCUGCAAGAAAUACUAUCUGUCUGCAAGCAAGAACUGAUGUGGUAAUAAAAUAGAGAAAGUGAUAGAAAAUGAAGACGCUAAAGUGCUCUGGAACCGGCAAUACAAUACCCCAAGCUUAAUAAUUGUCAAUAAAAAAUAAAUAAAAUGUAUGGAUAGUGGAUGUGGCACUAUCUGGAGGCAGCAGAAUAGAAAGAACUGGAGAAGAUAACAAAAUAGAAAGACCAGUAAAUAGAAUUAGAGCAACUGUGACAAAAGAAAGCAAAGGUAAUACUAAUAGUAGUUGUAGGCGCCUUGGGUGCAAUCCCAAAACAACCGGUGUACCACCAUCGGCAUUGACAAAGUCACCAUCAGUCAAUUGCAAAAGGCAGCUUUACUUGGAACAUCCUGCGACAAUACUUUUAACACCAUCAAACACCAUCAUCUCCUUAUCCAGAAUUUUGGGAAGAAUUGUUAAGUGGAUAAAAAUACUACAACCUAUCUGAACAUCUGGCUGACUGUGACAAACCAUAAUAAUAAUAUAAUAAUAUAUAAUAUAAUAAUAAUAACAACCACAUAGCAACGGAAGCUCCAGGCCCAAUUAUAGUAAAAAGUCAAGAACUACCUGUAUUCUUUUGGUAUGAACAUCGUUUUCUAUGCAAAAUGCAAAAACAAGAUGCAUGCAUGCGCCUUUCAAUUUCUGAAAAUAUUCGAGAAUGAAUUUUGUGAAAUUGUGUUCCUGCAAUCAUUCAAAACUGCUAAAUUGGAAAAAAUUGAGAGCCGAUCUAGUUUUCAGAGAUUUGAUUCUUUUUUCACAUGGAUUUUCAAGGAGUCAAAUGUAUAAACAUUUGACAUUUAAUUUCAGAAUAAAUAGAUCUAAUCUAAUUGAUCCAAUUUCAUGUAGAUCACAAGGUCAGCUGGCUUAAAGAUGCGGCUUCUUUUCCUAAAAUAGAUUUAGUACAUGUUUUUCAUGGAUAGGAUAGACAAAUAGUUACUGUGAAAAUUGCUUCAAACCCACUUUAUUUAUUAGAUUUAUUAGAUUUUUUUAUUUAUUAGAUUUGGGAUCUCUUAAGCACCUUCUCAAGAAAAUCACUGGCUGCACUCACACAAACACAUUGGGGACUUAGAGAAUGGUUUAUAGAAUCUUGUAUCUAAUUCUAACAAAGUUCAUCAAUUUUAACGUAUUAUGGAUUAUGAAUUCCAAUACUUACGAAUGCCAAGCCAUUUACUUGGCUAAAAAUAUUUAAUUGCAUUAGCUAAUCCUGUAUUUGCUACAAAUAUUCUCUUGUUGUUUAAUUUUAAUAUUAUGUCUUUAUAACACCUGGAAGUGCUGUUGAAAGGUCAGAAUGCUUAACUAAAUAACUAAAUGACAAUUGUUUGGUAGAUAAAAUAUAUGCAUGGCUUGUUUGAGCUAUUCUGCUUCAAACAACUACAUGAGUGUUGAAAUAUUGAACCAUUUGAAAUAAUUUUAUCUAUUUUAAUCUCUUGCAACAUAAUUGAAGUUAUCAUUAGUAUGUGUUUCCACAAAUUGUGUGUCUGUGUCUGUGUAAUAUAAUCUACACGGGUCCCACCGUAAGAAGCUAAUAUUUCUUUUGUGCAUUAAAAUAUGUUCCAGCUCUCAAAAAUAUCACCACCAUAUAGUUUCCCUGAUUAGAUGCCUUCUAAACAUAGGAUUGAGAUCGCUAUUCACUAAAUUAACUGCCUGAGAAUUGUUUAAAGAACUAAAAAGACUGUCCUAAGAGAGUUAACAUUUUAGAAGAUAAGAAACAUUUUGUGAGAAAAUUUUUUGCUUUGUGAAUUAUUGAUAUUAUAUCUUCUGUCUGUUAAGGCAUUAGUAUGUAAAGCAGCAGCCCCCAACCCUUUGGGCACCAAGAACUGGUUCCACAGAGGGUUUUUUCUGCAGACUAGAGGGAGCGUUUUGUGUGCUGCCUGCAUCCCGCGGAUGGGGCUUUACUUGUCUAGCUGCCCUGCAUGGUGCUGGUCCAAGGAUAGAGUUGGGGACCCCUGAUGCUAGCCAAGAAGAGUUAUAAUAUGUGAUUUCUCUCUCUCUCUCCUCACAUAUCUUUUCAACUAUAACUACCGUACUUUUUGGAGUAUAAGAUGCACUUCCCCCCCCAAAAAAAGAGAGUGGAAAUGUUGGUGCGUCUUAUACAUCAAAUACAGCCAUUUUUGGCCCGAAACCCCACCCCACGUGUCCUGUUUUAGCCAAAAACAGGCCUUUUUUUUGACAAAACGGGAUAAACAGAGGAUUUGGGAACCUGCAGUGCUCCUGGGGGCCAGGGAGGUCAAAAACCAGAUGUGCGGAGGCCAAAAACUAUUUUUUUUCUUGUUUUUCUAUUCAAAAUCUUGGUGCAUCUUAUACUCCAGUGCAUCUUACAGUCCAAAAAAUAGGGAUACUUGGAUUUCAUGAGCACCAUGGAAGUGUGGAAAAUCAAGUGCUAGGAUCUCCUGCAUUCUUGGUUCAAGGACAUGAAAUUUAAGAAGUGUUAUCCAUUUUGAUCAAAACAAAAAUACAACGGCAAAGCCUUCCAUAGAGAGGCUCAAAAAAGUCAGAAUGGAAGCUAUGACCCUGUAAUUGUUGUUGCCCUCUUGACUUUUUUUGAUGCCUAGGUUCAAAGCAGUGGAAUAAUCUGGAGGCAUUAGCCUCUGCCUUUGUUGAGGAUUCUGCGGCCAAAGGGAUGCAAGAUUCUUUCUGCAUUUAUACUCAAACCUCUAUUGAAUGUUACCAUAUCUUAGUCUUAUCAGUGAAUACUUAUUGUCUAAAGUUAUUUUCUUUUGCUUUGUUCAAUAAAUCUUUUGGGCUUUUAUUCAUUUAUGUUUUAUUGCAUUUGAAUCCACAGACUUCCUCUCCACAUUUUACUGUGGCAAAAUAGCAUCCAGAUAGAGGAAAGGAUGGAAAUUGCUUUUUCAAUCCAAAGACAGAGGACAAAGAAUCUGCUGAAAAUGAAUGGUGGCUGGAAUCAACAAAGCCAGGAUAGAAUGCCUAUAGAAACUGACUUCUUAAAGCAACAGUCAUCCCCUGCUUGAGACUGACAAAUGUAGGCUUAUAAUUGGAAAUGUUUUAAACUUAUUCACAGUGACAAGGCUAAUCAGAAUCUUGAAUAAGAAGGAAGGACUCUUUAUUUCUUCACAGUUGGUGCCCAAUAUAAUCCCAUCUUGGUUAUUGGAAAAACUGGACCCAAGAUCAAUGCUAUGAAGUUCAAAUAAUAUUUCCACAGUCUUACUCCACAUUCUUGCAAACAAGUGAAUAUUUAAUGGACUGAGUUACUCUACAAUUGAGGAGGAGAAGAUUUCAAUACAAGCACCGGACUGUAUUUCAGUUUUACUCACCGUAAGUUUUAGGAUAUUUCCCAUCUAAUGACUUUGUAUUUGUGUAUUAAACUUGCUAACAGUGGUGGGAUUCAAAUAAUUUAACAACCGGUUCUCUGCCCUAAUGACUGGCCGGGUAGGCAUGCCAUGGUCAUGUGAUUGGGUGGGUAUGGCCAACUUGACAUCACUCAUUACACCCAGCCUUGCCUCAUGGCCACUUGCCUCAAAGGCAGAGGUGGGAUUCAGCCGGUGCAGACUGGUUUGGGUUAUCCCACCCCUGACUGGCCCUGGCUGACCCCGUUUUUCAGCCCGUUUUGAAGUCCACAAGUUUUAAAGUUGCCAAGAUGGGAUACCCCUAAACAAGAUGUUCUGAUAGAUCAGUGCUUUUCAAAUUUGGCAACUUUUAAGUUGUGUAUGGGUGGGGACGAGGGCAGCCAGUGGUGGGAUUAGCUGUUGUGCUGAACGGGGCAGAAUUUUAACAACUGGUUUACCUGAACCUGUCCGAACUGGCUAAAGCCCACUUCUGCAUGCUAACAACCAUCAUUAUUGCCAAUUAAGACUCAUACUUCAGGGUUGGAGAGCCUUGGAGAGCUGCAACUACAAGGAGAAGAAUCAACAAUUAAAAAAAAUAUUACUGUGACCAAUUUGAUCUCUGCAAGGAAGAGUUAUGUGUGUCAAACUGUAGCUUGUAAAAGAUAAUCUGAUAAUUAGUAGCAAACAAGCUUAUAAGUAUUCUAUGUCCCUUCCUAUGCUGAAACUAAGGAAAGAAUCGAAAGCUAUGUGCUAUUUACUGUAAAGAAAAUUUCCUACCUGUAUCAGCAUGCAGAUCUAAACAGCUGGGAGAAAUACUUUGAACAAUAGAUGAGUCACAGCUGAAACUUUAAUCCCCAGAACUAUUUAUUUAGGAUCCCAGAUCACUUUUAGACCGGUCUUCUAUUUUUACAUCCUUCAUCCAGUGGGUAUUUAGAAGGCCCAUGGCCUCCAGAAAUGCUUUUGGUUAAACACAAAUGGCAAUUAAAGAGAAAAAGCAAGUGUUUUCUUCCAUGAAAUUCAUUUGCUAUACAUUAGGAUUUUAAAAAAUAAUUAUGCACUGUGGCAGCAGUCAUUCCUUUUGGUCAAAAAAGUUCACAUCUUCAGCAAAUGCAAUUGUUGUACACCAUCAAAGAUAUUUGAAUGACUCAGAAAUAGGCUUCUUCAGUGUGCAUGUAUUAUUAUUUUUAUCUGCAGUUUAUUUUUUACAUUCUCAGCAUGAUUGUUGAUAACAAAGAAAAUAUGCCAAUAGCAUGAGAUAUUUGAAAUAUGGUCAAUAAGAACCCACUCAUCCUGUUUAAAGAUUUAUAUGAUAAAGAUUGGCUUGGGAUAGAACUUCUGAAGGACUUUUUCUUGAACAAAAUAAAUUUUCAGAACUUUUUUUUAAUAGUCAAAACAAGAUUCAAUGAAUAGAAUAACUCGAUGAAUCACAAAGCUGAACAUUUUUUUUCCUAGAUAAAAAUGGCAAUAGUAGGAAUUUCCAUGGAUAUAUAGUACAUUAUAUAA